UACGUAGGGGGCAAGCGUUGUCCGGAAUCAUUGGGCGUAAAGAGCGCGUAGGCGGCUCGGUAAGUCCGCUCUGAAAGCCCGGGGCUCAACCCCGGGAGGCGGGCGGAUACUGUCGGGCUAGAGUCCGGAAGAGGCGAGUGGAAUUCCUGGUGUAGCGGUGAAAUGCGCAGAUAUCAGGAGGAACACCCGUGGCGAAAGCGGCUCUCUGGGACGGUACUGACGCUGAGACGCGAAAGCGUGGGGAGCAAACAGG
Molecule: ribosomal RNA, 253 nt
Filed under: uncultured bacterium
Lineage: Bacteria
Description: partial 16S ribosomal RNA
Rfam family: Bacterial small subunit ribosomal RNA
Source: RNAcentral